ACUGCAUUCAAAAAGGUCACUUGGUAUACUGCCCAUUGAUAUAAUAGUACUGUAUUUGCGCAGGCUCUCUUCUUCUACUUCUCCCUGCCCUCUUUCUUUCUAUUUCUCUCCAUCGCUCUUUUCUCCUCAACAUCCUUAAUCAAAUAGGCACAGUAACCGUCAUUAUCUCUAUCAAACAGAAACCUUUUUACUAAAUAUUCAAGUUGCUCUUGAGAACAGUGUAUUUCUUGCUAAAUGCCUUGUUGGGUUAAUGUGAAUGUUCGUCCCUCCUCUUCACUCGCUUCACUCUCUUAAAAACUCUUCAGGUUUUUCCAACUGAGCGAUUCUGAGGCGGGCGCAAUCGCACUAGAGGGGAAGUCAAGUCGUGCUGGACUGGCGCGAUAUCCUCGCACGGUUUUACAACUAAAAGAAGACCUGCCCCGCGUUUAAUCAUGCUUUUAAAUGAUGGAAUAUGCUGAUUUUAAAAGUUGACCAGGGAUUUCUAGUUGUGGGGUGUUUGCGAGGCAUGGCUUUCCUUUUAACUUGCUUGUUUCUGUCUUGUGCGAGCAGUGUUUGGGGAAAUCAGCACGUUGAUACCAAUAUCUAUUUGGAUAACAUCACGCGCAUAUUGGAUAGAUUACUGGAUGGCUAUGACAACAGGCUACGACCUGGAUUUGGAGGUCCAGUUACAGAGGUCAAAACUGACAUCUUUGUUACCAGCUUUGGUCCGGUUUCAGAUGUUGAGAUGGAAUACACCAUGGACGUAUUCUUUCGUCAGACAUGGAUCGACGAACGGCUAAAAUUUGAAGGCCCCAUUGAGAUCCUGCGGCUCAACAACCUGAUGGUCAGCAAGAUAUGGACGCCGGACACCUUUUUCCGGAAUGGCAAGAGGUCGAUCUCUCACAACAUGACCACCCCCAACAAGCUGUUCCGCAUCAUGCAGAACGGAACUAUCCUCUACACCAUGAGAUUAACUAUAAAUGCGGAGUGUCCCAUGCGUCUGAUGAACUUCCCGAUGGACGGCCAUGCCUGCCCGCUCAAGUUUGGGAGUUAUGCUUACCCCAUCAGCGAGAUUGUAUACACUUGGAAGAAGGGUCCUCUGUCCUCUGUGGAGGUGCCACAGGAAUCAUCUAGUUUGCUGCAGUACGACCUCAUCGGUCAGACAGUGUCAAGCGAGAGGCUGAAGUCCAACACAGGUGAAUAUGUCAUCAUGACAGUCCACUUCCAUCUGCAAAGGAAAAUGGGCUUCUUCCUGAUUCAGACUUACAUUCCCUGUAUUAUGACUGUCAUCCUGGCCCAAGUCUCUUUCUGGAUUAAUAAGGAAUCAGUUCCAGCUCGGACUGUGUUUGGUAUCACCACUGUCUUGACCAUGACAACACUCAGUAUCAGCGCUCGCCACUCCCUCCCCAAAGUUUCUUACGCCACAGCCAUGGAUUGGUUCAUCGCUGUUUGCUUUGCCUUUGUCUUCUCCGCUCUGAUUGAGUUUGCAGCCGUCAACUACUUCUCCACUCUGCAGGCCAACCGGGAGCUGAGGAAGGCAGCAGCCAUGAAAGUGGCGGCCCAGGAGUCAGCAGCUGCAUCUGCAGCUGCAGCUGCGGCUCCAGCCACAGGGAGCGACGGAGAGGUUUCCUCAGUUGAUGCCAGUAGUGUGCUAAAGAAGAGGAUGAACUCUGCCCCGCUGUUUGACCGUCCUGCCAAAACAUUUCCCAACCCACCUGUCAAUGCCCAAGCCUUCCUGCAGCAGGGUUCAGCUGUACCGGCCAACAAUGUUCUGACUGGCACCAGCAUCAUCGACAAAUACUCCCGCAUCCUCUUCCCACUUUCGUUUGGCGCCUUCAACCUGGUCUACUGGAUCGUCUAUCUCACUAAGGACACGAUGGAGAUGUCCAGGUGAACAGAUGGCAUAGUUGUUACCAAUAAUUCCAGCACCUUCUCACUGAAAAUAAUUUGGGGAUAGCGUUUAAGCCAAGAGUUCGUCUUCCUGGGAAUCACACUCGCACACACACACUUUCAUACACUUGCAUGGGCACACACACACAUAUAUACACAAUAAAUAGAUGACUGACGCUUGCCAAGCACUCUUUUAAGCGGCCUCAUUGCAUUGUAUUUCUUUUUAAAUACUCCUCUGGAAAAUGAGUAUUUUGAGAGCAGCUGUACCAGCUCAUAUUGCCAACUUGACCCAGGAGCUCACAGCUUGUGGGCCCCAGGCUCUGGAACCAUUUUAAACAGGUACAACAUAUCUCUAUGUCUCUUUCAUUUCUUUUUUCUCCAAUAUAUAUAUAUAUAUAUAUAUAUAUAUAUAUAUAUAUAUAUAUAUAUAUAUAUAUAUAUAUAUAUAAAGUCACAUGUUUUGACACAUUUUCAGUGUCCUGUAUCCCCUGCCCGAGUGGAUGGGGCAAGAUGCAACGGCUAAGCUAGCUAGGCUGCAGAACCACAGGCAGAGCCACUACUUUGUUGUAUGUACUGUAUUUAUUUCUGUGUGUGCAGCAUGCAUGCAGUUCCACACAUGAUAGUGAUCUUGCAUGUGUGUGUUUCAAAUGACACAUUCCCUACCCUGAUAUUUAGAACACACUUGAGGGAAUGAGUGCACCCGUUGUCCUGACUGGACCCAGUGUGACUGACUCACAGCUCUUCUUUGCACUCUUCCUUUUUUUUUCUCCCCACAACACCCACUAUUUUUUGGUUCAUUGGCGUAAUUUUCCUCCGCUGAUGGAGUACAGAGGAUGUGAGGCAAAAUCUUCAAAGGGUUUUUAUGGUUUGUUCCACAGAUACAUUGGCCUGGUUGAAUAGUUACAUGCACAUGCAAAUGGAGAAACGUGCACAUAUUGAACAAAUACAGACAGUAAAACAUGCACACAUGCCAUUUACUUACACUUAUGCUUUCUUCCACAAUGACAGGAUUGUACAUCAUGUAUUUCCUGUAGACACAAAUGAACUUUGAAACAUCAGUGCAUGAUUCAUGACUAUCACAUAUAACAUAACUUCCAUCUGGUAUAAUUUUUUAGAAGAAAUCACAGAAACACACAUUACCUGCCUACAGGAACAAGAGAGGAGGACACUGCAAAAUUGUUAGAAAAAAAAAUUAAGUUUGCCAGACAUUUCCUAUAAAUCAGAGGAAUUAUUUUGAGCUACAAAAUUUAUGAAAUGCAAGACACUUUAGUGGAACAAUGAAUGCAAAUGCAAUGGAUGAUGACACGUGUUACAUACAGGUAAUCCACUACUGCACAUAUAUUCCCUAGCAUCUCAUACAGUAACCUGUAUCUUGGCAACAACAGAUUUUUCCCCAGAGAAGAUUUAGGCCUUUAUAUGCUAACAUUGUUAUCAUUUUCUUAUUUUAAUUGUUUCUAUUUAUUGUAGUGGUAUUAAUUGCAGUUAAACUGGUUGCCAAUUAUUUGAGAUAACAGCUCUGGCUUCCGGUUUUCAUUUAAAAAAGCGGCAAAAAAGACACCUAAACCUAUCAUCAUCAAUUAUAUGAAAUGCCAAAACACAUUAAUUAAUAUUCCACUUGCUUGGAUUUGCAUAUGAUUAUGCACAGCUUCCAAUUAAGUAGAGAUUGUAACAUGUUAAAGCCAUGUGGUGUCUAAAUAUAAGCUUAUGUGUGUUUGCUUCCUCGUAACAUCCAUCAUCCGUGAGGAUGUUGUCAUUAAAGGUGUCUCUUAUUAACACAGGCACCUCUUAAAAUGGAAAAACCUGCACACGGUGCCAAAAGAUUAUAGUAGUCUUGAAAACUGUACACUUCCUCUGGUUGUUUGGAUAUUUAAUAAUGAACAUUUUAACACAAACUUUAUGUUAAAAAAUUUUUUACAAUUGGUGUAAAUUGCCCCUUUGUUCUAAUUCAGUCUUGCACAUACUGAGGGCCCUAUAGAAGUCAUUGAACAAGAAUCAACAUGAUUUCCUGUUUUUGAAUAUUGUGUUGUCUAUUUAUUUUUUUCCAGUUGGAAAGGAAGCUAUUCAUUUGUUGUAAUUAUGUGUAUUUCUUAUGAGCACUUUGAUUUGUGAACAGACAAGCAUGUUAGAGCUCAGUUCAACAAUACUGAUAGAAUAAAUAAAUAAUGCAUGAUUAAAACUUUGCAUUAUUAACAGAGUUUUUAUAGAAUAAAAAUAUGCAAUGCAAUACAAAAAUGCAAUAUAGAUUCUGGUUGGACCCCCAAGGUUGGUAUCCAUUGCUUAAACUGUAUUCUGAAGUUGGAAAGCUUUCAUGAACUUGUUACAAACAAGCAACUCUAUUGCCAGACAAGAACAUCAAUAUCGGACAAUUCAGCAACAGUGCCAAGGAUUUUUAAUUGUUGUUUUCUACAAUAUCUGCAUGUGGCAACUAUGGCAUGACUAAGGUAUGGUUAGGGUUAGGCUACUAAGACAUAAAAAAGCAAACUUGUGACAGGAUGCAAACACCAGUCUUUGGCGUGAAAAUCUGAUGUGCUAGGUUUGGACUCGUACUUUAAAUCUUCUGGUCGGUUGACAUUAAAAUGACUAUGUCCUUGUGCCAGUUAUGGAGUGCAAAGGAUGUGUUCAUUUUAAAGACUGUUGUUGCCUGUUUUAUUUUUCUUUGACAUGUACAUGUACACUAGAGGACUAAAAGAAUAGUGAUGUCAGACUGUAUGCACUGUCUUUGUAUCCUCCCUCUUUCUCUACUCCAUUCAUCUCCCUCAUCCCCUCUGUCUUUGAGGCAGAGGCUGAUGAGACAGGGCAUUUCAGCUCCUAUUGCCCUGUAUGUCAGACUCUAUUGUGGGAAAACCUGACCGCCAGUGAACUCAGACUGCUACAGAACUGCUGGCUCAACCCCAAUGGAGCCUCAGAACACCAACGACCUCCCACCUCCAGCAAUGACUAAGUGUCUUUCUUCAGAAUAAACUUCAGUCGAAUAGUCAAACAGAAAUAAGCUGCAGUAAGAGGGUGUGUAUGGAUGUGUGCACACGUGUGUGUGUGUUUUUUUUUUUUAUAUGAUUAAGCUUGUUUGCUUUUAUCAGUAACCCGAUUUAUCUGGCCUCUGGCCCCAGCCUCGCUGCUCAGCUCCAUCGCACCACCAUGAGAACCGCACUUGCAUGACCUCCGACCCUUUAUGUGCUUGUUAGGGUUGUUGAAUGUAGAAGGUUGUGAACUCCAUAGAAUAUAGAAUUCUAUUGCUAUGGUGACUGCGGCCAUGAACUGCCCUUUAGUCAAUUUUGUUUCAUUCCACAGACAUGGGCUUUAUUGAUUCUUUCAUUUAGCCAGCAUUAAUCUCUUUUUUGUAUUACUACACUGUCAUUUGCCAAAAAUUGUGGACACAAUUUAGAAGACAAUGAAUGCUCUACGUUGUUAUUUUAUGUGUAUAUUUUGUGAAUAUAAUUAAUUAUUUCUGUAGGUUGCUAUUUGUAGUCCAACUGUAUGACCCUGCUUGAUGAUCAGCUGCACUGCAUAAACCAUGUGUACUGGUUUGAAUGACAACUUUUGUAUUUUUAGCAGUUGGGUUCAUCCACAUUUGCUCCUUGUACACAUUGCUCUCCAGUAGUUUUUAUUGUCACGAGAAAGGCUUGUUUUUUAUUGCAACAGAAACAAUAUUUGCAUAUUCAGGUCUCUUGUCCGGUUAAUAAAUGAACUCCUACUCACUUUUCCCAGGGAAUUAUAUAUUACUAUGCUCAAUAAAGCCAGAUUAUGUAUCCA
RNA transcript from Sander lucioperca (pikeperch), 5619 nucleotides. It is a transcript of the gene named gamma-aminobutyric acid type A receptor subunit alpha6b, with no coding region annotated. The record is from RefSeq and is a predicted model, not a curated record. The transcript has 10 exons. NCBI's taxonomy places the organism in Eukaryota, Metazoa, Chordata, Actinopteri, Perciformes, Percidae.